UUGAACGCUGGCGGAAUGCUUUACACAUGCAAGUCGAACGGCAGCACGGGGGCAGCCCUGGUGGCGAGUGGCGAACGGGUGAGUAAUACAUCGGAACGUGCCCGGUCGUGGGGGAUAACGUAGCGAAAGUUACGCUAAUACCGCAUACGAUCUGAGGAUGAAAGCGGGGGACCUUCGGGCCUCGCGCGAUCGGAGCGGCCGAUGUCAGAUUAGGUAGUUGGUGGGGUAAAGGCCUACCAAGCCGACGAUCUGUAGCUGGUCUGAGAGGACGACCAGCCACACUGGGACUGAGACACGGCCCAGACUCCUACGGGAGGCAGCAGUGGGGAAUUUUGGACAAUGGGCGCAAGCCUGAUCCAGCCAUUCCGCGUGCAGGACGAAGGCCUUCGGGUUGUAAACUGCUUUUGUACGGAACGAAAAGGCUCUGGCUAAUACCCGGGGCUCAUGACGGUACCGUAAGAAUAAGCACCGGCUAACUACGUG
RNAcentral lists this ribosomal RNA (483 nucleotides) under uncultured bacterium. Its description in RNAcentral is "partial 16S ribosomal RNA". It matches the Rfam family "Bacterial small subunit ribosomal RNA", at positions 30 to 507 of the family's 1533-position model. The record is from RNAcentral.